Molecule: unclassified non-coding RNA, 377 nt
Filed under: soil metagenome
Description: partial contains 5.8S ribosomal RNA, internal transcribed spacer 2, and large subunit ribosomal RNA
Rfam family: 5.8S ribosomal RNA (bases 1-120)
Source: RNAcentral
GAUGAAGAACGCAGCGAAAUGCGAUAAGUAAUGUGAAUUGCAGAAUUCAGUGAAUCAUCGAAUCUUUGAACGCAUCUUGCGCUCCUUGGUAUUCUGAGGAGCAUGCCUGUUUGAGUGCCAUUAAAUUCUCAACCGCACUGACUUUGAAUUGGUGUGGCUUGGAUUUGGGGGGAAAAUUGUUGUGGGCUUUUUUGUAUAGUCUGCUCCCCUGAAAUUGAUUAGCGGUACCUUUGUGGAACUGUCUACAGGUGUGAUAAUUAUCUACAUCCUAGACAUCUGCUGGAAUGCUGCUUUCUAAACCUUACUUGUAUUGACAAUCUUGACCUCAAAUCAGGUAGGACUACCCGCUGAACUUAAGCAUAUCAAUAAGCAGAGGA